AUGAACGCUGGCGGCGCGCCUAACACAUGCAAGUCGAACGGUUAAAGCACCUUUUAGGUGUGUAUAAAGUGGCGAACGGCUGAGUAACACGUGGGCAACCUGCCCUCCUCUUGGGGAUAGCCUCGGGAAACCGAGGAUAAUACCCGAUACUUCAAUGUGGCCGCAUGACGACAUUGAGAAAGCUUUUGCGGAGAAGGAUGGGCCCGCGGCCUGUUAGCUUGUUGGUGGGGUAGAGGCCUACCAAGGCAAUGAUGGGUAGCUGGGUUGAGAGACCGACCAGCCAGAUUGGGACUGAGACACGGCCCAGACUCCUACGGGAGGCAGCAGUGGGGAAUCUUGCACAAUGGGCGAAAGCCUGAUGCAGCGACGCCGCGUGCGGGACGAAGGCCUUCGGGUUGUAAACCGCUUUCAGCAGGGACGAGGCGAUAAGUGACGGUACCUGCAGAAGAAGCCCCGGCUAACUACGUG
Molecule: ribosomal RNA, 468 nt
Filed under: uncultured bacterium
Lineage: Bacteria
Description: partial 16S ribosomal RNA
Rfam family: Bacterial small subunit ribosomal RNA
Source: RNAcentral